RNAcentral lists this ribosomal RNA (254 nucleotides) under uncultured bacterium. RNAcentral describes it as "partial 16S ribosomal RNA". It matches the Rfam family "Bacterial small subunit ribosomal RNA", at positions 524 to 777 of the family's 1533-position model. The record is from RNAcentral.
UACGGGGGGGGCAAGCGUUGUUCGGAAUUACUGGGCGUAAAGGGCUCGUAGGCGGCCAACUAAGUCGGACGUGAAAUCCCCAGGCUCAACCUGGGAACUGCGUCCGAUACUGGAUGGCUUGAAUUCGGGAGAGGGAUGCAGAAUUCCAGGUGUAGCGGUGAAAUGCGUAGAUAUCUGGAGGAAUACCGGUGGCGAAGGCGGCAUCCUGGACCGACAUUGACGCUGAGGAGCGAAAGCUAGGGGAGCAAACGGGG